This 253-nucleotide ribosomal RNA is filed under the name uncultured bacterium. RNAcentral describes it as "partial 16S ribosomal RNA". It matches the Rfam family "Bacterial small subunit ribosomal RNA", at positions 524 to 776 of the family's 1533-position model. The record is from RNAcentral.
UACGGAAGGGGCAAGCGUUGUUCGGAAUCAUUGGGCGUAAAGGGCGCGUAGGCGGCCAUGCGUGUCUUCCGUGAAAUCCCUCGGCUCAACCCGGGAACUGCGCCCGAUACUGGCGGGCUUGAGUCCGGGAGAGGAUGGCGGAAUUCCCAGUGUAGAGGUGAAAUUCGUAGAUAUUGGGAAGAACACCGGUGGCGAAGGCGGCCAUCUGGACCGGCACUGACGCUGAGGCGCGAAAGCGUGGGGAGCAAACAGG